RNAcentral lists this long non-coding RNA (659 nucleotides) under Pan troglodytes (chimpanzee). Its description in RNAcentral is "long non-coding RNA NONPTRT017209". Lineage: Eukaryota; Metazoa; Chordata; Mammalia; Primates; Hominidae. The record is from RNAcentral.
GUGGUUAGAGAUGAAAAAUUACUUAAUGGGCACAAUGCACAUUAUUCUGGUGAUGGUUACACUAAAUAUCCAGAUGUCACCCAUAUGCAAUAUAUCCAUGUAACAAAACUGCAUUUGUACCCCUUAAAUUGAUAUUUAAAAGUCUGUUUAUAUUGAGAAUUACCAUUCAUGACCACUGGAGAUACUCUCCCAUAGUCUUCUGUGGUGUGUUGUUGCUCAGGAGAAGUCAGCUGUAAAUCUAUUUAUUAAUAUUUAAAUUGGUCAGGCUGAUCUCGAACUCCUGACCUCAGGUGAUCUGCCCUUCUCAGCCUCCCAAGGUUCUGGGAUUAUAGGUGUGAGCCACCGUGUCCAGCCUCUUCAUCAAUUUUUAAUCUUAAUUGUAAUGUUUGUAAACACAUUUAGAUUAUUAUUUAUUGAUGUGGAAUAUAAAUUAUUCUUUAAUAUUCUGAAUUUCCCAACAUUGUUCAAUUUUUCACACUAUACAUUUUUUUAAAUUUGCGGCGUGCUUAUCUGGAGUGUGUGAUUAUGCAUUGGUGGGGGUAGAGGCUGCAGUAUUUUGAAGAAGUCCUAUAUGUAUGUGUUGUAAGCGGAUCUUAUUAAACACCACCAAGGCAAUACUUCUAAAAGUCUGCAAGCUUUACAGCAUUAUUGGGUUUGGG